UUUCUUCUCCGCUGCCUUGAAAGCCAGAACUCUCCUCUCUCUCAUUCCGAUUCGGACAGAGUAGAGGAUGGCUCCAAUGGCGUGCAAAGGUAAGAUUCUUCUUCGCUUUUCUCUUUUAUUUCAUGUUAUUUAUGAACUGAGUAAAAAAAACAAAGAAAAGUGAAAAAAAUUCAAAAAUGGUACAAAACUUUGUUUUCUUUUUUUGAAUAUUUUUUGUUUUUGUAUUCAAUAUCUCUGUGUGCGGGAG
RNAcentral lists this long non-coding RNA (247 nucleotides) under Gossypium barbadense (sea-island cotton). RNAcentral's name for it is "long non-coding RNA (GBAR_LNC013314)". The record is from RNAcentral. Lineage: Eukaryota; Viridiplantae; Streptophyta; Magnoliopsida; Malvales; Malvaceae.